RNAcentral lists this ribosomal RNA (1583 nucleotides) under Escherichia coli. RNAcentral describes it as "partial 23S ribosomal RNA". It matches the Rfam family "Bacterial large subunit ribosomal RNA", at positions 1291 to 2854 of the family's 2925-position model. The record is from RNAcentral. Lineage: Bacteria; Pseudomonadati; Pseudomonadota; Gammaproteobacteria; Enterobacterales; Enterobacteriaceae.
CGAAUGCUGACAUAAGUAACGAUAAAGCGGGUGAAAAGCCCGCUCGCCGGAAGACCAAGGGUUCCUGUCCAACGUUAAUCGGGGCAGGGUGAGUCGACCCCUAAGGCGAGGCCGAAAGGCGUAGUCGAUGGGAAACAGGUUAAUAUUCCUGUACUUGGUGUUACUGCGAAGGGGGGACGGAGAAGGCUAUGUUGGCCGGGCGACGGUUGUCCCGGUUUAAGCGUGUAGGCUGGUUUUCCAGGCAAAUCCGGAAAAUCAAGGCUGAGGCGUGAUGACGAGGCACUACGGUGCUGAAGCAACAAAUGCCCUGCUUCCAGGAAAAGCCUCUAAGCAUCAGGUAACAUCAAAUCGUACCCCAAACCGACACAGGUGGUCAGGUAGAGAAUACCAAGGCGCUUGAGAGAACUCGGGUGAAGGAACUAGGCAAAAUGGUGCCGUAACUUCGGGAGAAGGCACGCUGAUAUGUAGGUGAAGUCCCUCGCGGAUGGAGCUGAAAUCAGUCGAAGAUACCAGCUGGCUGCAACUGUUUAUUAAAAACACAGCACUGUGCAAACACGAAAGUGGACGUAUACGGUGUGACGCCUGCCCGGUGCCGGAAGGUUAAUUGAUGGGGUCAGCGCAAGCGAAGCUCUUGAUCGAAGCCCCGGUAAACGGCGGCCGUAACUAUAACGGUCCUAAGGUAGCGAAAUUCCUUGUCGGGUAAGUUCCGACCUGCACGAAUGGCGUAAUGAUGGCCAGGCUGUCUCCACCCGAGACUCAGUGAAAUUGAACUCGCUGUGAAGAUGCAGUGUACCCGCGGCAAGACGGAAAGACCCCGUGAACCUUUACUAUAGCUUGACACUGAACAUUGAGCCUUGAUGUGUAGGAUAGGUGGGAGGCUUUGAAGUGUGGACGCCAGUCUGCAUGGAGCCGACCUUGAAAUACCACCCUUUAAUGUUUGAUGUUCUAACGUGGACCCGUGAUCCGGGUUGCGGACAGUGUCUGGUGGGUAGUUUGACUGGGGCGGUCUCCUCCUAAAGAGUAACGGAGGAGCACGAAGGUUGGCUAAUCCUGGUCGGACAUCAGGAGGUUAGUGCAAUGGCAUAAGCCAGCUUGACUGCGAGCGUGACGGCGCGAGCAGGUGCGAAAGCAGGUCAUAGUGAUCCGGUGGUUCUGAAUGGAAGGGCCAUCGCUCAACGGAUAAAAGGUACUCCGGGGAUAACAGGCUGAUACCGCCCAAGAGUUCAUAUCGACGGCGGUGUUUGGCACCUCGAUGUCGGCUCAUCACAUCCUGGGGCUGAAGUAGGUCCCAAGGGUAUGGCUGUUCGCCAUUUAAAGUGGUACGCGAGCUGGGUUUAGAACGUCGUGAGACAGUUCGGUCCCUAUCUGCCGUGGGCGCUGGAGAACUGAGGGGGGCUGCUCCUAGUACGAGAGGACCGGAGUGGACGCAUCACUGGUGUUCGGGUUGUCAUGCCAAUGGCACUGCCCGGUAGCUAAAUGCGGAAGAGAUAAGUGCUGAAAGCAUCUAAGCACGAAACUUGCCCCGAGAUGAGUUCUCCCUGACCCUUUAAGGGUCCUGAAGGAACGUUGAAGACGACGACGUU